GUCUACGGCCACACCACCCUGAACAUGCCCAGUCUUAUCUGAUCUCGGAAGCUAAGGAGGGUCAGGCCUGGUUAGCACUUGGAUGGGAGAGACAUAUGAAAGAAUGAUGGGACUUUGUCGACA
Pteropus vampyrus (large flying fox) is the source of this 123-nucleotide ribosomal RNA. NCBI's taxonomy places the organism in Eukaryota, Metazoa, Chordata, Mammalia, Chiroptera, Pteropodidae. The record is from Ensembl.